ACGGGGGGUGCAAGCGUUGUUCGGAAUUAUUGGGCGUAAAGAGCGUGUAGGCGGCUGAAUAAGUCAGAUGUGAAAUCCCUGGGCUUAACUCAGGAAGUGCAUUUGAAACUAUUCAGCUCGAGUAGGGGAGAGGAAAGUGGAAUUCCUGGUGUAGAGGUGAAAUUCGUAGAUAUCAGGAGGAAAAAAGGUGGCGAAGGAGAAUUUAUGGCCCUAUACUGACGCUGAGACGAGAGAGAGUGGGUAGCAAACAG
Molecule: ribosomal RNA, 251 nt
Filed under: uncultured prokaryote
Description: partial 16S rRNA
Rfam family: Bacterial small subunit ribosomal RNA
Source: RNAcentral